Molecule: ribosomal RNA, 502 nt
Filed under: uncultured bacterium
Lineage: Bacteria
Description: partial 16S ribosomal RNA
Rfam family: Bacterial small subunit ribosomal RNA
Source: RNAcentral
AUUGAACGCUGGCGGCAGGCUUAACACAUGCAAGUCGAGCGGGGUGAUGGUGCUUGCACUAUCACUUAGCGGCGGACGGGUGAGUAAUGCUUAGGAAUCUGCCUAUUAGUGGGGGACAACAUCUCGCAAGGGAUGCUAAUACCGCAUACGUCCUACGGGAGAACGCAGGGGAUCACUCGUGACCUCGCGCUAAUCGAUGAGCCUAAGUCGGGUUAGUUAGUUGGUGGUGUAAAGGCCUACCAAGGCGACGAUCUGUAGCGGGUCUGAGAGGAUAAUCGGCCACACUGGGACUGAGACACGGCCCAGACUCCUACGGGAGGCAGCAGUGGGGAAUAUUGGACAAUGGGGGAACCCUGAUCCAGCCAGGCCGCGUGUGUGGAGAAUGCCUUAUGGUUGUAAAGCACUUUAAGCGAGGAGGAGGCGCUUUGGGUUAAUACCCAAGAUGAGUGGACGUUACUCGCAGAAUAAGCACCGGCUAACUCUGUGCCAGCAGCCGCGGUAA